AGAGUUUGAUCCUGGCUCAGAUUGAACGCUGGCGGCAGGCCUAACACAUGCAAGUCGAACGAACUCUUCGGAGUUAGUGGCGGACGGGUGAGUAACACGUGGGAACGUGCCUUUAGGUUCGGAAUAGCUCCUGGAAACGGGUGGUAAUGCCGAAUGUGCCCUUCGGGGGAAAGAUUUAUCGCCUUUAGAGCGGCCCGCGUCUGAUUAGCUAGUUGGUGGGGUAAUGGCCCACCAAGGCUACGAUCAGUAGCUGGUCUGAGAGGAUGACCAGCCACAUUGGGACUGAGACACGGCCCAAACUCCUACGGGAGGCAGCAGUGGGGAAUCUUGCGCAAUGGGCGAAAGCCUGACGCAGCCAUGCCGCGUGUAUGAUGAAGGUCUUAGGGUUGUAAAAUACUUUCACCGGUGAAGAUAAUGACUGUAGCCGAAGAAGAAGCCCCGGCUAACUUCGUGCCAGCAGCCGCGGUAAUACGAAGGGGGCUAGCGUUGCUCGGAAUUACUGGGCGUAAAGGGAGCGUAGGCGGACAUUUAAGUCAGAGGUGAAAUCCCGGAGCUUAACUUCGGAACUGCCUUUGAUACUGGGUGUCUUGAGUGUGAGAGAGGUAUGUGGAACUCCGAGUGUAGAGGUGAAAUUCGUAGAUAUUCGGAAGAACACCAAUGGCGAAGGCGACAUACCGGCUCAUUACUGACGCUGAGGCUCGAAAGCGUGGGGAGCAAACAGGAUUAGAUACCCUGGUAGUCCAA
Molecule: ribosomal RNA, 744 nt
Filed under: uncultured bacterium
Lineage: Bacteria
Description: bacterial SSU rRNA
Rfam family: Bacterial small subunit ribosomal RNA
Source: RNAcentral